GUCCUCCGCCUCGGUACAUCCAUCUCUAUUGGAUCCGGGGCCUCGACCCUGUUAUGGUUCGACCGCUGGCUUGGGGACUCCCCCUUGGCUGUGCGUUUCCCGGAACUAUUUGCCAUUGCGGCUGACCCUCGGGUCUCUGUCGAGACGGCCCUUAUUGACUUAGGGCGUCUCGCUUUCCAUCGCCCCUUCGGCCCACUCGAGGUGGCUGCUUGGGACUCCCUCCUCCAAGACGUGGCCCUUAUGCAGAUGAACAUUGAGGAGGACCAGGAUGCCAUCUCCUGGCACCUGGAGCCGUCUGGCUGCUUCUCCACGAAGUCCUUGUAUGCGGCCAUCGCGCCCUCGACGGCCCCGAAACCGUUUAGCCUGAUAUGGGACAUCCGCCUCCCUCUGAAGAUCAGGAUCUUUCUGUGGCAAUGGAUCCACGGACACCUCCCCUCUGGGGUCGAAGUCCUCAAGCGUAUCGGCCCGGGGCGAUGGGAUUUGUCCCAUCUGUGGCACGAUCGAAGAUGCUAA
This 513-nucleotide ribosomal RNA is filed under the name Triticum aestivum (bread wheat). Its description in RNAcentral is "partial small subunit ribosomal RNA". The record is from RNAcentral. Lineage: Eukaryota; Viridiplantae; Streptophyta; Magnoliopsida; Poales; Poaceae.